GCGCGAAAACUUUACACUGCGGGAAACCGCGAUAAGGGGACCCCGAGUGCCAGCACCUAGUGCUGGCUGUCCAGCUGUUCAAAAAACAGUUGUUAGCAAGGGCCGGGCAAGACCGGUGCCAGCCGCCGCGGUAACACCGGCGGCUCGAGUGGUAACCGUUAUUAUUGGGUCUAAAGGGUCUGUAGCCGGCCGGAUAAGUCUCUUGGGAAAUCCAGCAGCUUAACUGUUGGGCUUUCAGGAGAUACUGUCUGGCUCGAGGCCGGGAGAGGUGAGAGGUACUUCAGGGGUAGGGGUGAAAUCUUGUAAUCCUUGAAGGACCACCAGUGGCGAAGGCGUCUCACCAGAACGGACCUGACGGCAAGGGACGAAAGCUAGGGGCACGAACCGGAUUAGAUACCCGGGUAGUCCUAGCCGUAAACGAUACUCGCUAGGUGUCGGCCACGGUGCGACCGUUGUCGGUGCCGUAGGGAAGCCGUGAAGCGAGUCACCUGGGAAGUACGGCCGCAAGGCUGAAACUUAAAGGAAUUGGCGGGGAGCGACCACAACGGGUGAGCUU
This 556-nucleotide ribosomal RNA is filed under the name uncultured Methanosarcinales archaeon. RNAcentral describes it as "bacterial SSU rRNA". It matches the Rfam family "Archaeal small subunit ribosomal RNA", at positions 339 to 895 of the family's 1478-position model. Lineage: Archaea; Methanobacteriati; Methanobacteriota; Methanomicrobia; Methanosarcinales. The record is from RNAcentral.